Molecule: ribosomal RNA, 468 nt
Filed under: uncultured bacterium
Lineage: Bacteria
Description: partial 16S ribosomal RNA
Rfam family: Bacterial small subunit ribosomal RNA
Source: RNAcentral
GACGAACGCUGGCGGCGUGCUUAACACAUGCAAGUCGAAGGGAAAGGCCCUGCUUUUGUGGGGUGCUCGAGUGGCGAACGGGUGAGUAACACGUGAGUAACCUGCCCUUGACUUUGGGAUAACUUCAGGAAACUGGGGCUAAUACCGGAUAGGAGCUCCUGCUGCAUGGUGGGGGUUGGAAAGUUUCGGCGGUUGGGGAUGGACUCGCGGCUUAUCAGCUUGUUGGUGGGGUAGUGGCUUACCAAGGCUUUGACGGGUAGCCGGCCUGAGAGGGUGACCGGCCACAUUGGGACUGAGAUACGGCCCAGACUCCUACGGGAGGCAGCAGUGGGGAAUAUUGCACAAUGGGCGGAAGCCUGAUGCAGCAACGCCGCGUGCGGGAUGACGGCCUUCGGGUUGUAAACCGCUUUCGCCUGUGACGAAGCGUGAGUGACGGUAAUGGGUAAAGAAGCACCGGCUAACUACGUG